This 396-nucleotide long non-coding RNA is filed under the name Sorghum bicolor (sorghum). RNAcentral's name for it is "long non-coding RNA (SBIC_LNC016802)". The record is from RNAcentral. Lineage: Eukaryota; Viridiplantae; Streptophyta; Magnoliopsida; Poales; Poaceae.
UUGGCGAUCCCUGAGACAAACACGACACUACUCACACCUCCAACCCAGGAAACCGAUGGACCGAUCCUCCACGAAAAUUGCUUCCCCUCACAUUCACAUCCAGGUGCGCAUGGCAGACGAAGUCGAGGCGCCAUUGUCAGAGCAGCUGGCGGCACUAACAUGGCCUCUACCCGAGAGCAGAGCUAGCAGCCCACUGCCAUGGACCCUGCCCUCUGGGAGCGGAGGUGCGCUGGGCUGCGCCUCGACGUUGUCAUCAUCAUCGUUCCAUCCCAGGAAAGCUUCGUCUUCUCCAUUCGCCAUAUCAGCAUCAUCCUUCAUUGCAGCGGCUUGAAUCUCAUCAGGGUUGCAAUCAGCUGUCAACUGUCUGAUCGCAGGACCUAACGAGCCACCACCGUG